ACCAGCCAAGUAGCGUGCAGGAUGACGGCCCUAUGGGUUGUAAACUGCUUUUAUACAGGAAUAAAGUUAGCCACGUGUGGUUAUUUGUAUGUACUGUAUGAAUAAGGACCGGCUAAUUCCGUGCCAGCAGCCGCGGUAAUA
This 141-nucleotide ribosomal RNA is filed under the name uncultured bacterium. RNAcentral's name for it is "partial 16S ribosomal RNA". It matches the Rfam family "Bacterial small subunit ribosomal RNA", at positions 387 to 525 of the family's 1533-position model. The record is from RNAcentral.